Molecule: long non-coding RNA, 1108 nt
Organism: Ochotona curzoniae (black-lipped pika)
Lineage: Eukaryota; Metazoa; Chordata; Mammalia; Lagomorpha; Ochotonidae
Exons: 4
Source: RefSeq, a predicted model, not a curated record
AAAGUAGCUGAACUUACAUUACUCAGCUUCUUUCUGUGGCCUUCUCUGUUCCUGUCCCAUCAUUUGGAAGGUGUGGGGGCGCUUGUAUUUGAAUCCAGUUUGAGAAAUUCCUGCUUUUCUCUCUAUCGUGCUUCUUUUUCACUGAGUGAUAGUAGGUAGAAGUUUCCAGAAGGAUUUCCUGUGGUGCCUUCUAUUUGUUAUGAUUCUACAGCCCGUUUCCUGAAAGGAAAAUAAUGGAGUUGGCUAUAUAGAUUUGGAUCUCUGUUUACUGCCUCAAUUGCAUUUUUAAGAACUGAGUUUUCUUUGUCUUGAAGGUUGUUCCUACAGUACCUGAGGAUGCUGGACAAAGAGAUCAUCCCCAUGGAUUUCUAUGGGGUUGCGAUAUACGUCCAGCCAUUACUUUUGUUCUCAUUUGCAUUUUUAUAUGGAGAAUUUUUCAAUUUAUUGCAAGCAGGCUUUAUGUAGUAAAAAAGAAAAAGCUUGCUGUAGAACACUCUGGACUAAUAAAAGAAAAUUGUGAUCUACUUGACAAACCUAACUUUCUAGAAAAAGAGUAUGAAAGCUUAGAGCGAUCUUUGCAAGAUGCCAGCUUUGAGGAGUCGGAAGAAGGGCAAACUUUGAAGUUAAAGAGAACAAAUGACUUCAUUUUGAAAGCUGGGGCGAGGAGUGUUGCUGACUAACAUAGACUUUAAAGAUACUAUGUUGUCAGCAAACUCCGUUUCAAAGAAAUAUGAAAAAAUAUGGUAGUUUUUAUAACUUACAAAUGGUUAAAUAUUGGAAAUAGACCGUUGGUAGUACAUGUUUUGAGUGACGCCUAUUCAGCUCGUAGGAGAGCUCUGUAGAAGCUCUUUGUUCUUCCUUCUUGGAAAAUCUGUGAAGUGACCUUUCCUUUUUUGGACUCAGUUUACUACACAGAGAGACAAAGGAUUCAUUCAAACAAAUUUAGGACUAGUUGGCAACAAUGAAUUAUCGAAAUUGUGUCAUGGUAUUGGCCUAGAUGUAAUCCUCAAGAAUAUUAGGAAUUAUUCAGAAUUGGAUCAGAAGUUACAUUAUAAAUAUUGAUGUGCUGCUAAGUGUUUCGAAACUGGCUCUCCAAAAAUCACUUGCU